RNAcentral lists this ribosomal RNA (411 nucleotides) under Fulmekiola serrata (oriental sugar cane thrips). Its description in RNAcentral is "partial 16S ribosomal RNA". It matches the Rfam family "Bacterial large subunit ribosomal RNA", at positions 1943 to 2597 of the family's 2925-position model. The record is from RNAcentral. Lineage: Eukaryota; Metazoa; Arthropoda; Insecta; Thysanoptera; Thripidae.
UGACUGUACAAAGGUAGCAUAAUAAUUUGUCUCCUAAUUAGAGGCUAGAAUGAAAGGUCAAACGAGAUAAAAACUUUCUUAACUAUAAAAAUUAAAAUUUUCCUUUAAGUUAAAAGACUUAAAUUUUUUUAAAGGACGACAAGACCCUAUAGAACUUAAAAUUUUCUAAAAAUAAAAAGAAGAAAAAAUUUUACUGGGGAAGUAAAAAAAUAAAAAUUUUUUUUAAAAGAAUCUAUUUAAAGACUAAGAGAUCCUUAAAAAAGAAUAAAGAAAAAGUUACCUUAGGGAUAACAGAGUUAAAUUUUUUGAGAGACCAAAUCGAAAAAAAAUAUUGCUACCUCGAUGUUGAAUUAAGAUAAAUAAUAAUAGAAAAAAAUUAUUUUAUUAGGUCUGUUCGAUCAUUAAAAUCUU